This is a small nuclear RNA of Echinops telfairi (small Madagascar hedgehog), 164 nucleotides long. RefSeq annotates it as U1 spliceosomal RNA. The transcript has a single exon. The record is from RefSeq and is a predicted model, not a curated record. Lineage: Eukaryota; Metazoa; Chordata; Mammalia; Afrosoricida; Tenrecidae.
AUACUUACCUGGCAAGGGAGAUACCACGAUCACGAAGGUGGUUUUCCCAGCGUGAGGCUUAUCCAUUGCACUGAGGGUAUGCUGACGCCUGCGAUUUCCCCAAAUGCUGGAAACUGGACUGCAUAAUUAGUGGUAGUGGGGGACUGCGUUCAUGCUCUCCCCUG